Molecule: non-coding RNA, 25 nt
Filed under: Cricetulus griseus (Chinese hamster)
Lineage: Eukaryota; Metazoa; Chordata; Mammalia; Rodentia; Cricetidae
Source: RNAcentral
GGGCUUAGAAAGCAAUCGGAAGCUG